This 27-nucleotide non-coding RNA is filed under the name Mus musculus (house mouse). Lineage: Eukaryota; Metazoa; Chordata; Mammalia; Rodentia; Muridae. The record is from RNAcentral.
CUCGAACUCAGAAAUCAGCCUGCCUCU